RNAcentral lists this ribosomal RNA (460 nucleotides) under uncultured bacterium. RNAcentral's name for it is "partial 16S ribosomal RNA". It matches the Rfam family "Bacterial small subunit ribosomal RNA", at positions 338 to 795 of the family's 1533-position model. The record is from RNAcentral.
CCUACGGGAGGCAGCAGUGGGGAAUAUUGGUCAAUGGACGCAAGUCUGAACCAGCCAUGCCGCGUGCAGGAAGACGGCUCUAUGAUUUUUAAACUGCUUUUGUACGAGGGUAAACGCAGAUAUGUGUAUCUGUCUGAAAGUAUCGUACGAAUAAGGAGCGGCUAACGCCGUGCCAGCAGCCGCGGUAAUACGGAGGAUUCAAGCGUUAUCCGGAUGUAUUGGGUUUAAGGGGUGCGUAGGCGGUAGGAUAAGUUAGAGGUGAAAUCCCGAGGCUCAACUUCGGAAUUGCCUCUGAUACUGUUCGGCUAGAGAGUAGUUGAGGUAGGCGGAAUGUAUGGUGUAGCGGUGAAAUGCUUAGAGAUCAUAAAGAACACCGAUUGCGAAGGCAGCUUACCAGGCUACUUCUGACGUUGAGGCACGAAAGCGUGGGGAGCAAACAGGAUUAGAUACCCUGGUAGUC